Molecule: unclassified non-coding RNA, 260 nt
Filed under: Hevea brasiliensis (rubber tree)
Lineage: Eukaryota; Viridiplantae; Streptophyta; Magnoliopsida; Malpighiales; Euphorbiaceae
Source: RNAcentral
AAAAAAUAAUUAUGGGACUAAAUAAUUAAUGGAGUCAAAUUACAUGCACUAAUUUUUUUUCUAAAAUGUCGAAAUUAACUAUUUAAUUUCACUAAAAUAGAAGGAUUAAAUAAUAUUUUGAUCAGUAUUGACUAAUAGAAAAAUUGAUGGAGUUAACAGUUUAAUAGAAGUAAAAUAUAAAAAUUAAAUAAUAUUUUGAUCAGUAUUGACUAAUAGAAAAAUUGAUGGAGUUAACAGUUUAAUAGAAGUAAAAUAUAAAA